CUCAGACGAGCAGGUGAUGCAUUGACAGGGAGCAGAUGGUCCCCUGUGGAGAGCCCAGUAUACGUGUCUUUUGUCAGCAAGGCCACCUUGUGGGAACGAGGACUCUGCCGCCAAACCGCCCACAAACGUCCAAACCACGGUCCCUUAUUGUGUCCACGGUUCUUGUCUCACAUGACCGCCCGCCCCGAGGACCUCAGGCCUCCUUGUGUCCCGAGCUCCGGGUCCAGACCGCUGCCCCCCCCUCGGGAGAAGACGGCGGUAACGCACGCCCUCGCUGCACCGAAGACACAAACGCUGGACGGUUUCUUCCGUCUCCAUCCAGACGGGAGAAGGAAAAGUGCGCCGAUGGCGGGAAGGCGCUCUGCUGCUGUUGUUGUUCCCUGUCCUCCACCCUCCGCUGCCCCACCGCCACGCACCGCCAACCCAACACCGCCCCGCCAAAACUCCCCGCACGGCGACUUCGAGAGGCGGCGAAGAAGCCGGUCGGCAUCUCCCUGCGACGAGCCACCUGCCCCGGGGGGGGGCGUUGAAGUCCGUGAGACGGCUCCGCGACCCGCCGCCGCGUCCCCCCACCCGGGCUGCCGGCUGCCUGCGGAGCCGAAUGGAUCGGAAGCGCCACCGCCGCCGGCGGCCUCCUCCUCCUCCUCCAUCUCACACGGGUCGCUCUCAGAUUUCAGCCGCCCACCGUCCAGCCGGUUCAGCCGCAGCACCGACCUCGCCAGCGGCCGGAGCAGCGUCCUGUCCGGCGCAGAUCUCGGAGACUCGGAGCCAGGAGGCGGCGUUUGCUCCUCACCGCUCCAGCCUCGCCCGGUGACGGGGUCACCCUCGGCUCCUCGCCCUCCGCCGGCAUCCCACCCUCGCCAACCAUCCGCCGAUGCUUCGGCCACCCCUCUCCUCUACGAACCGCUAUUUGGGCAAACCCGACCCCUCUCGCCGCCGUCGACGUCAGGUGGGCUUCGUCAAUCAGAUAACCCUCCGAGCAGGAGCGAAAGCCCCGAUGCGACAAAGUAUCUCCAACCAGUUCCAUCAGAAGCUCCUGGUCCCCACCCAUCCAUGGCCUCCGACCGCGGCCUCGUCGGCCUGGCUUUCCCCUCCGCCACCUGGUCCUCCUGCCCGAGUCCGCAGAGGACCACUCCCCGCUCCUCGGGGUCAGGACCGGCUCCGACCCCUCCUGCGUCGGCGCCCCGUCUGGAGUCUCGUCGCUGGUCCCCGCUGCCUCCCAUCUCCCCUGUCGGAGGACGCUGUGGCACCGCAGCAUCCCGCUACUCCGAGCUCAGCUGCACUCAGUCCCGCGCGUUCGAUGAGCUGGAGGCCAUCGCCCCUCGCUCGCUGUCCUCCCCGUCUCUGGACCGGCUGUCGGACUCCUCCGGGUGCCCUUCACCUGACACAGAGCUGUCUCCGGGCCUGGCGGCGCUGACGGUGGGCUGUGACUCCGGGACCCUGGGCUCUCUGUCCCGGGUGCAGCUGCUCCUCCUGGACCGGCCGCAGCCCGACACCCGGCCGGGUCUGUUCGGCCCGGAAGAGGAGCUCUCGCCGGUGCAAGACUGGCCUCGUCUCGCGAUGCAACAUGAAGGUGGCGUGAGGCCCCGCACAGCUGGCGGCGUCUCUGAAAGGUGUGACUCCGCAGGGAAAGUCCACGAAAACAAAUCGGAGGGGUCCGAAGACGGUUUCUGGCUCUCCGUCUUCGUGGAUCAUCGACCCGGAGUCCAUCGCUCGCCAUGUUCAGAUCCGCCCUCUCCCCUUGCGUGUCCGAUCUCGGUUCCAGCGGAGGGGAAGGGGGCCCCGCCGAGGAGGAGGAGGAGGCCAAUUAUCCGGGAUGGGGGCAACAAGUCGAAUCCUCAGCCGCAGGACGGAGGCCCGCGAGCCUUGAUGGCAGAAGUGAGGAGAGGAAGCGGAGGAUGGAGGAGAGGAAAACAAAGGUGCUGAGCUUGCUCUCCAAGCUGCAGGACGACGGGCCGCGGCAGCCAAAGGGCCACCGGAGCUGCUCCAACUUCCAGGACUUUGACUUUUUGGCAAAGUAUUGCAUUUUCAGUCAGGAGAAGCUGGCCGAGUACAAAAGGGCUUUUGAAGCAGAGGACGCUGAUGAUGACGGCUACAUAUCCUGCCUUCAGGCUCUGCUCGCGCUCAAGAGCGUCAUCCCCGCGGAGCGGCUGUCCGACGAAGAAGAAAUCUACGUCUACAGGAUCUUAGAGAUGGUGGACUUCAGCGUGACAGAUGGGCUGGUGGACCUCCGGCUCUUUGCUGUGAUUGCGAGCCUGGCGCAGAAAGUGGCGGCCAUGGAUGAGUUCAUGCGAUCGCUAAUCACCGACAUGGACUUCCGCUCGUUAGAAGUGAGGCUCUUCAAAGCGAAGCAACUGUUCCUGUUCCUCAUGGAGGAGCAGCAAGGAGACGCCGGAGCCCAGCGGGGCUCCAUCAGCGCGGAGCAGCUCCUUCUGGAGCUGAAGGCCGGGGGCAUCCACCUGGAGCAGGAGGCGGCCGUGCGGCUGGAGCUGCAGCGCAUCCCCCCCCUGGACCUGCUGGACUUCCUGGCCUACCUGCCGCUCUUCAUGCUCAUUCACAAGUCGGUCAUCGCCAACCCUCUCAAUGACUCCGGCGACCUCUGACCUCGGCCCUUGGCACCUGGCGAAGCAGCGUCACUGCCGUUAAAUCCACCAACACGCAGGAACCCUUCAUUUAAUUUGUUUUGUUUUUACAUUACUAGUAAAGAUAAGUCUGGUUAUUAGCUAUUUAGUUAGCCUGGAAUGCUAACGUGCAGUUAGCUGCUAACUGCCAGCUCAGCACGUUGAGCGUUAUGAAACUUUUGCAACUUCUUUUCACAACCACUUGAUGUUUGUCUCAUUGAUUAAUAUAUUGUUCUGUGGUUCCUGUUAACGUUUCAUGGAGCUGUGAAGUGCUGUCUAUGGUCCUGAAAUGUUUCCGUAGAUGUUGCAGCCGUUUGAAAAAGCUUUAAACGCAUCAAAAAGUUGCAUUAAAUAAAAGCACCUCCAAACGGGGCGGGGCUCUCUUCU
This is a long non-coding RNA of Gasterosteus aculeatus aculeatus (three-spined stickleback), 3008 nucleotides long. NCBI's taxonomy places the organism in Eukaryota, Metazoa, Chordata, Actinopteri, Perciformes, Gasterosteidae. The record is from Ensembl.